RNAcentral lists this ribosomal RNA (501 nucleotides) under uncultured bacterium. RNAcentral describes it as "bacterial SSU rRNA". It matches the Rfam family "Bacterial small subunit ribosomal RNA", at positions 791 to 1297 of the family's 1533-position model. The record is from RNAcentral.
UAGUCCACGCCGUAAACGAUGGUCACUAGCUGUUCGCAUUUCGGUCUGAGUGGCUAAGCGAAAGUUUUAAGUAAUCCACCUGGGGAGUACGAUCGCAAGAUUGAAACUCAAAGGAAUUGACGGGGGCCCGCACAAGCGGAGGAACAUGUGGUUUAAUUCGAUGAUACGCGAGGAACCUUACCUGGACUUAAAUGUAGAUUGCAUAGCUUAGAGAUAGGCUCUUCUUCGGACUAUUUACAAGGUGCUGCAUGGUUGUCGUCAGCUCGUGCCGUGAGGUGUCGGGUUAAGUCCCAUAACGAGCGCAACCCCUAUCCUUAGUUGCCAGCGGGUCAUGCCGGGGACUCUGAGGAGACUACCACCGUAAGGUGUGAGGAAGGUGGGGAUGACGUCAAAUCAGCACGGCCCUUAUGUCCAGGGCUACACACGUGUUACAAUGGACGGUACAAAGGGCAGCUACCUGGCGACAGGAUGGCUAAUCUCUAAAGCCGUUCUCAGUUCGGA